Molecule: ribosomal RNA, 253 nt
Filed under: uncultured bacterium
Lineage: Bacteria
Description: partial 16S ribosomal RNA
Rfam family: Bacterial small subunit ribosomal RNA
Source: RNAcentral
UACGUAGGGAGCAAGCGUUGUCCGGAAUCAUUGGGCGUAAAGCGCGCGUAGGUGGCCUCAUAAGUCCGCUGUGAAAGUCAAAGGCUCAACCUUUGAAAGCCGGUGGAUACUGUGAGGCUAGAGUACGGAAGGGGCGAGUGGAAUUCCUGGUGUAGCGGUGGAAUGCGCAGAUAUCAGGAGGAACACCAAUAGCGAAGGCAGCUCGCUGGGACGUUACUGACACUGAGGCGCGAAAGCGUGGGGAGCGAACAGG